GCCGGAAAAAUGCCUUUGGCGGCUUACCUGAUUUGUAAUCAGGGUGUGGCGGGUUCGAUUCCCGUUUCCGGCU
RNAcentral lists this transfer RNA (73 nucleotides) under Haliscomenobacter hydrossis DSM 1100. RNAcentral describes it as "tRNA-Thr (TGT) (tRNA-Thr-TGT-2-1)". It matches the Rfam family "tRNA". Rfam says of the family: Transfer RNA (tRNA) molecules are approximately 80 nucleotides in length. Their secondary structure includes four short double-helical elements and three loops (D, anti-codon, and T loops). The record is from RNAcentral. Lineage: Bacteria; Pseudomonadati; Bacteroidota; Saprospiria; Saprospirales; Haliscomenobacteraceae.